This 466-nucleotide ribosomal RNA is filed under the name uncultured bacterium. RNAcentral's name for it is "partial 16S ribosomal RNA". It matches the Rfam family "Bacterial small subunit ribosomal RNA", at positions 28 to 505 of the family's 1533-position model. The record is from RNAcentral.
GACGAACGCUGGCGGCGUGCUUAACACAUGCAAGUCGAACGGGAAGUCCCUGCUUUGUGGGGGUGCUCUAGGUGCCAACGGGUGAGUAACACUUGAGUAACCUGCCCUUGACUUUGGGAUAACUUCAUGAAACUGGGUCUAAUACCGGAUAGGAGUUCCUGCUGCAUGGUGGGGGUUGGUAAGUUUCGGCGGUUGGUGGUGGACUCGCGGCUUAUCAGCUUGUUGGUGGGGUAGUGGAUUACCAAGGAUUUGACGGGUAGCAGGUCUGAGAGGGUGACCGUCCACAUUGGGAGUGAGGUAAGGCGGAGCAUACUACGGGAGGAAGCAGUGGGGAAUAUUGCACAAUGGGCGGCGGAAUGCUGAACCAACGACGCGGCGGGGGUGAUGGAGUUCGGAUUGUAGACCGCUUCCGCCUGCGGCGAAGAGUGAGUGACGGUCAUGGGUAAAGAAGCAGCGGGUCUCUACG